Non-coding RNA from Epinephelus lanceolatus (giant grouper), 467 nucleotides. NCBI's taxonomy places the organism in Eukaryota, Metazoa, Chordata, Actinopteri, Perciformes, Serranidae. The record is from RefSeq and is a predicted model, not a curated record.
CGACGUCACACCGGUCGUCCUAUCCUAUCCAGCCUGUAGCAGGCGGCAGUAGGUGGCAGUUUCCUGACUGGAGCUGAGGAAAGCAGGAGCAGGGGCGGUUAGACCAGAAGGCCACCAUGGUGCUCAACCCUGUCAUCUCCAAGCUCACCGGGAAACUGGUCGUGCUGGCAAGCGCUUCACCCAGGAGACUGGAGAUCCUCAGCAAUGCUGCCGGUGAGCAGAGCGGAGCGCCCGCGGAGGCUCGCGCACUGCAGCGCUUCAGUUCGGCAUCUGGUCUAUUUUUCACACGAGCCGUGAGCGCCUCUGUCAAGCUGGAUAAAGCGGAUCAUACCAAACUGGAAGUCGGACACAGAAAAGACGAGAGAAUCCGGCCAAUUUUCAAAAUAAAAUAAAUUUAAAAAAUAAAAGCCUGUUUAAUUAUGAUGUUGCUUGUCUGUCUAUAAAUAUUUGUUCAGUUUGGUCUAGAC